This 429-nucleotide long non-coding RNA is filed under the name Homo sapiens (human). Its description in RNAcentral is "HSALNT0239206". The record is from RNAcentral. Lineage: Eukaryota; Metazoa; Chordata; Mammalia; Primates; Hominidae.
CUCCUCGCCUAGCAACCCCAUCCCGCCCUCUGGCCGCAGCCAAUCGCGGACGGGCCUGGUGGAGCGUCACCACCAGGGGGCGGGGCUUCCCUUAAAGCAGCCGAUUCCCUCUGGGCGGGCCUGCCCUCCUCCCGUCCGGGACGAGUUUGGUCACUCUCUUCCUUCGCCAAGGUUCUUCUUCUCUUCUCCUCCUCCUUGUUUCGUCUUCUGCGUGUGCUCCGCUUCUCGCUUAGUCUCUUCUUUAUGGCUUCUCCCCUAAAUUAUCACCCAUUUUUCUCUGAGAACUCCUGCUAGUUCUCUUCCCAUCUUUGUUGCUGCCUUUCUCAGCUGCGCUUUAAUGCUUAGAACCGAGAAUGGAAAGAAUCAAAAGGUUCGAAAGAAUCAUAAGACUAGAAAAAAUCAAUAGGUUCGAAAGAAUCUUCGUUCGGA